This 425-nucleotide ribosomal RNA is filed under the name uncultured bacterium. RNAcentral describes it as "bacterial SSU rRNA". It matches the Rfam family "Bacterial small subunit ribosomal RNA", at positions 354 to 796 of the family's 1533-position model. The record is from RNAcentral.
GUGGGGAAUUUUGCGCAAUGGGGGAAACCCUGACGCAGCAACGCCGCGUGGAGGAUGAAAUCCCUUGGGAUGUAAACUCCUUUCGAUCGGGAAGAUAAUGACGGUACCGAGAGAAGAAGCCCCGGCUAACUUCGUGCCAGCAGCCGCGGUAAUACGAGGGGGGCAAGCGUUGUUCGGAAUUAUUGGGCGUAAAGGGUGCGUAGGCGGUUUGAUAAGUUUGAUGUGAAAUCUCUGGGCUCAACCCAGAGUCUGCAUCGAAAACUGUCGGGCUUGAGUAUGGGAGAGGUGAGUGGAAUUUCCGGUGUAGCGGUGAAAUGCGUAGAUAUCGGAAGGAACACCUGUGGCGAAAGCGGCUCACUGGACCAUUACUGACGCUGAUGCACGAAAGCUAGGGGAGCAAACAGGAUUAGAUACCCUUGUAGUCC